This 133-nucleotide transfer RNA is filed under the name Maudiozyma exigua. RNAcentral describes it as "Kazachstania exigua tRNA-Ile". It matches the Rfam family "tRNA". From Rfam's summary of the family: Transfer RNA (tRNA) molecules are approximately 80 nucleotides in length. The record is from RNAcentral. Lineage: Eukaryota; Fungi; Ascomycota; Saccharomycetes; Saccharomycetales; Saccharomycetaceae.
GCUCGUGUAGCUCAGUGGUUAGAGCUUCGUGCUUAUAGCACACUCCUUAAAAAGGAGCCUUCUAUGCCUAAGGUCUUUCAAACAGACUUCUAAAGCAACGCGACCGUCGUGGGUUCAAACCCCACCUCGAGCA